This 253-nucleotide ribosomal RNA is filed under the name uncultured bacterium. RNAcentral describes it as "partial 16S ribosomal RNA". It matches the Rfam family "Bacterial small subunit ribosomal RNA", at positions 524 to 776 of the family's 1533-position model. The record is from RNAcentral.
UACAGAGGGUGCGAGCGUUAAUCGGAAUUACUGGGCGUAAAGCGCACGUAGGUGGCGACGUAAGUCGGGUGUGAAAUCCCCGGGCUCAACCUGGGAACUGCAUUUGUGACUGCAUAGCUGGAGUGCGGCAGAGGGGGAUGGAAUUCCGCGUGUAGCAGUGAAAUGCGCAGAUAUCAGGAGGAACACCAGUGGCGAAGGCGGUGCUCUGGGCCGGAACUGACGCUGAGGAGCGAAAGCGUGGGGAGCAAACAGG